Long non-coding RNA from Sapajus apella (tufted capuchin), 2446 nucleotides. RefSeq lists it as uncharacterized. The transcript has 2 exons. NCBI's taxonomy places the organism in Eukaryota, Metazoa, Chordata, Mammalia, Primates, Cebidae. The record is from RefSeq and is a predicted model, not a curated record.
UCGAACCUGGGAUUCCCCCGAACCACCUCUACCCUACCCCCGCCCCCUUCAUCCCUCCGCAGCGCCCCUGUCCGUAAUGCAGGUCAGAUCCUGCUGGGACCCGCCCUCUUCCUUCGUUCCGGGGUCUUCAGGCCACCUAGGAAGUUGCUGUCAGGAUCCCAAAUCAAGGCCGCGAGUCCACCCUGCUGCCAUCCCUGCCCCUCUCCCCCACCUCCCCUCCCUUCCCCGGCCAGCUCUCCGCAGACUAUCUAAUUAAUACUCGUUUAGCCAUAGACACUAAGACGCAGAAAUGCGUUCAGUAAUGCAAGCAAUGAGGGUUAUUUUAUUUUAGAUACUAAAGGCAGGGGGGACAAUUAUACAAGCUAAAGUCCAUCGAUUUCUACAGAAACAAGGAAUAGAAAAAUCUUUCUACCUCCUCCAGCUGAAUUAUGUUGGCUGUUUUAAAAACAAACAAGCCCAUCUUCAAACAGUGGGGAGUUAGCAGCCAAGCUUCCCCAACUCACUGUAAUUUUCAGCUACUUCUACUGAAGAUUUGAUUUUUAUUCUUGUGUUCCCAAUUUUAGAAUCACAUCUAGCUCUGCAAGGGACCCUUAUGUCAGAGAUCUUCAACUGUAUUGAUUUUCAGAUGACUUUAACUAUAAAUCACACACCCCCCAAACUAUAUCUUAACUUUAACAAAUCCUCAGCUCCAUGAAGACAUAGCUGGAUCCCAUGGUGUUUGAACUGAAAUGAUAAGUGGCAGCCCUCUCAUGGAACAGCAUUGAUUUUUAAAUCAUAUCAACCUGAAUCCACCUUCAAGCACUACCCUGAGAAUCCCUUCCCAUCGUAUGGGUGAACGAUGCAGGGGAGAGAAAGGAAAAGGUGAAGUAUACCCUCCCUGACCUCAUCCCCAACAUCAGAGGACAUGGGAUACUGCCCUGCUCUUCCUAAUGCACCAGAGCCUCCGCCUCCUUCCCUUCUCCUUACAGCCUCCCUUAGCACCUUCGUUCUCAGCCACAGGCUUCCUGAGUCCACCCAGGAAAACAAAAGGCCUGCAAUUAGAUGGGCCCUCUCUCCUUGGGAAGAACAAAUAUGACCAUUAAGCAUGUCCCUGGACAGUGGAAGGUGAAGAAGGAUCUCAUCCUCCAGCCCAAAGGACUAAUGGAGGAUUCCUGGUAGGAACAUGUGGCGCUCGGCCAGAGUCACCAUCCGUGUUCCACUGGUUUGUUGUCUCACUGCUGUCUCUCACCGAGUUCCUUUUAUACCUGCAAUUGUAACCGAGCCUAUGUUAGAUGAAUCAUAAGGCGUUUGCUUUACUUGUUUUCGUUUAUCGUGGUCCUUUGCUUCCUCCUUGCAUGCCUGUUUGCAUAUAGUCCUUUUGGUGGAAGGGAGUCACUUGUCAUUAAUUAACUUUAUAUCCUAGCCCCGAGGCUGCCCGGAAGAUUAAUGAACAUGUUUUUCUUUCAAAGAACAAUGAUCCUUAGGUCAGGCAGACCUCUUUGAUGUCAUCCAGAAGUUUGAUCAGGCUGGGCCAAGGAAUCCAAACAGCUUUGAUCAUUGGGGUUCUUACCUCCCUGCAUACUUACCCUCCCGUAGAGGCCCCAGCUGUGGUCCUGAAUUGAUUCAGAACUUUCAGUGUAUAUUUCUGAGGCCUUUAAAAAAAAAAAUGAUCCUUUAAUAUAGCUACUGAAAAGUUCUGGAAACAAUGAGUAUCCUUAGUAACAAAUUAGGGUUACUAAAUGUCACUUCCCUCCAGAGAGAACUAGGGCUUUUUGGAGAAGGAUGAUUUCAUAAACUGAAUAAGAUAACCCCAGAAUAUCUCAUCCUACCAGAAAGCAAGGAUGUUAUCAAAGACUUCUGAGGUCCUGUCAUAAGCUGGGGCAAAACUGAGACAAUUUAAACAUCAUUAAAGGCAGAAACUACAAUGACUCAAAACACUUCAAUUAUGUUGAAAUCUAUUUGCUCAUAAUGUUCUUUUAAAAACUACAUUGAUUAUCUUUGAAGAAUGCUUAGAAGCCCAACUCACUAUUUUCAAAAGCUGGAAAAAAAGGAAAGGAAUCAAGCAUUUAUUACCUUGACUUUUCUGUAUAAACUAUACCUCAGUAUAAGCAAAUAAUUGCUGGAGAGUUUCUCUUUGUAAAAGUAUUGCAGCUAAUAAAUGAAGAAGGGGCAAUAGAAUUAGAAUGUUGCCAUUCUGCCUUCCUUAAUGAAUUAAUGGAUCUAGACACUGAAUGUACGUGGCUGAUGAAAUAUUAGAGAGCGAGGGAAAGAGAAACAGCCUGACAUUCUAAGCCUCCUGAUGGAAAUCCACAAUACUACCAACCUAUGACAUGUUAUAGAGAGAGAAAAAAAAAAACAAAAAACGUGAACCUGAACAAGCUUGUACAUCACACGUUAGUAAUCUGCCUCCUUGGAGCCAAAUCUGGCCAACUGCCUGCUUUUAUAAAUAAAGUUUUAUUGAAACACA